UUUAUUUCUCUUGAAAAUAGACUCAUUAAAGAUUCUAAGCAUAUAAAUUAUAGCCUGUAAUUAUUUUUAUACAAUUUUUAAUGAUUUUCCCAAUUCAGAAUAGGGAAUUCCAAAAUCAAUCUGACAUUGUCUCACAAAAAUUCAAAUUCAUACCAAAUUAGUCAAAUCCUAUUUUAUACCAUAGCCAAAUCUAAAUUUAUUUAUUUCAUCCUUACAUUUACAAUUUCAAAAUGACAUACACAUAAGACAUCCUAGGUACAUGCCAUUACCAAUAAUUAACACACUUUACCUUAAUGAAUUCGAGAUUGGACUGGGAUGCUGAUUCAACGUUCUAUCUUUACUAAACCUGCGCACGGAAACAAACCGUAUGCUGAGUAUGGUAUGCUCAGUGGUAUUUCUAUAAUCCGAACACUUGAUAAUAUAACAAUUAAACUUAAAAUCACAAUGAUAAAUAUAACCAUUCAUUUAUUUAUUUUAUAGAUAAGUUUCAUUUACUUACCAUAAAAAUUCUAUACAAGCCAUAUAACAAACACAACAACAUAUUUGCUCAAUUCUUUUCAUUUGCUUACUGUAUAAAUUCUUUCAAUAUUUUCACAAUUCACUUGUAUUCACACUUUACUUCUUAACAAUAUACCAUUUUAAUUCAUUCUAACAUCAAUCAUCAUCCAUUUGAACUUCACUCAUUUCAUGAACCUUUUGGUUCAUGUUUUCAAUCUCAUAUCUCAAUUUCAAUUCUCAAUUCAAUUUCUCAUUUCAUUCCAAUAGUUCAAUCAAUCAAAUUUACUCGAUUUAUCUUUUCACUUAUUUACCUCUAUUAACAAACCCGGACUUUGACGGAUACACGGAUUCCAACCCAAACACACCAGUACGGCACAUUGUGCCUAAAACGGUACAUAGUACCUGAUCAGUAUACGACAUAUAAAGUGCCUAAAACGACACACGAGGUGCUUGAUACGACACACGAGGUGCCUGAAAUACGACACAUAAAGUGCCUAAUCGGUAAAGCCGGCAAAUCCCGUACACUUUCAGAUCCUAUGGCAUGCCAAUUAUAUCCGACUUAGCCCGACUAGUUAAUAGGGUAUUUCAUUCACUUUCUCAAUUUAAUAAUUCUUUCAUCAAUAUCUCAUUCAGAUAAUUACAUAUAUUUACCCAUUUUCACAAUUCAUACAGUUUCAUUCAAUUCAACAAUAUAUUUCAAUUAUUCACAUUAAUUCAUAAUUCAAUACAAUUCAAUUCAUUUUUCAAUAUCAAAUAUUCAAAUAUCACAAUCUCAUAUAUUCAUACCAAUUUCCUCAUAUUUCCAAUCAAUAUAUUUUUCAAUAUAACAUUCAUUCAAUAUUCAAAUUUCUACAUAAAUCAUAUAUAUUAUAUAAUUCAAUCAAUAUAAAUUCAAUCAAAAUAAUUUCAAUCAAUAUAAAUUCAAUAAAACAGAUAUUCAUAAAUCAAUUCAAUAUAAAUUUAUCACACACUAAAUCAUUUCAUUUCAAUUAUAAAGACACAAUACAAAUAAUUCCCAUCUUAAUUAUUUAUCAUAAUAUUUAUCCAAAAUUCAAUUAUCAUAAUUGCAUAAUAUCUCAUUCACACACACACACAUAUAUAUAUAAUUCAAUUUAAUUCAAUCAAUAUAAAUUCAUCACAUACCAAAUUAAUCCAUUUCCAUUAUAAACACAAUAAUUCUCACUUCAACAUUUAUUAAAUGCAUUGAAUAAAAAAAUAUAACAAUUAAUAACUAGGUUCGGAUUAUAGAAAUACAAACCGUAUUUUCUCGAGCUAACUCCCUUUGUCUUUGCCAUUUUUUCAUUGCUUAGCCGAGGUUUCCCGAGACAACAUUAGCUAUGAGAAUUAAAACAAUUCAUAUUCGUUAAUUCACUACUAAUUUAUAUCUAAUUAAUGCAAUUUUUAUUCAAUUUCUACUUUAAUUUCAAUUUAAUCUUAACUAGAUUUACUUACUUUUUCUAUCUCAAUUUAUACUUCAUUUCUAUUCAAAUUUUGUCCAAACUCAUACUUAACUAUUAAAUUUCCAGCAUAUUUUCAUAAUUUAUAAUUUAUUUCCAUUUAAUCCCUAAAACUCAAAACUUAUAGCUUAGUUUACGAUUCAAUCCUUUAUUCAAUUCCAAUCAAAAUUUCUAUCAAAUAAACCCCCAAUUCCAUCAUUUUAUUCAACAUGAACCAUACUUAGAAAUCUAAUGACUUUCAAAAUUUCUACUUAAAACAAGUAGUAUUUAUCUCUAGGAUUCCAAAAACUCAAAAAUCAUAAGAAAAUGGGCUAAAUUGACUUACCAAAUUAACUUGGAACCUUUAAAACCUUAUUUUUCCCUUUUUCUCUUCUUCCUUUCUCCCUUCUCUGUUUCGUCCCCUGCUAUUCUGUUUCUUUCCUCUUUUUAUUCUUUU
RNAcentral lists this long non-coding RNA (2391 nucleotides) under Gossypium barbadense (sea-island cotton). RNAcentral's name for it is "long non-coding RNA (GBAR_LNC011859)". Lineage: Eukaryota; Viridiplantae; Streptophyta; Magnoliopsida; Malvales; Malvaceae. The record is from RNAcentral.